This 256-nucleotide ribosomal RNA is filed under the name uncultured bacterium. Its description in RNAcentral is "partial 16S ribosomal RNA". It matches the Rfam family "Bacterial small subunit ribosomal RNA", at positions 521 to 776 of the family's 1533-position model. The record is from RNAcentral.
UAAUACGAAGGGUGCAAGCGUUACUCGGAAUUACUGGGCGUAAAGCGUGCGUAGGUGGUUCGUUAAGUCCGAUGUGAAAGCCCUGGGCUCAACCUGGGAAUGGCAUUGGAUACUGGCGGGCUAGAGUGCGGUAGAGGGUAGUGGAAUUCCCGGUGUAGCAGUGAAAUGCGUAGAGAUCGGGAGGAACAUCCGUGGCGAAGGCGACUACCUGGACCAGCACUGACACUGAGGCACGAAAGCGUGGGGAGCAAACAGG